GACGAACGCUGGCGGCGUGCUUAACACAUGCAAGUCGAACGGAAAGGCCCUGCUUUUGUGGGGUGCUCGAGUGGCGAACGGGUGAGUAACACGUGAGUAACCUGCCCUUGACUUUGGGAUAACUUCAGGAAACUGGGGCUAAUACCGGAUAGGAGCUCCUGCUGCAUGGUGGGGGUUGGAAAGUUUCGGCGGUUGGGGAUGGACUCGCGGCUUAUCAGCUUGUUGGUGGGGUAGUGGCUUACCAAGGCUUCGACGGGUAGCCGGCCUGAGAGGGUGACCGGCCACAUUGGGACUGAGAUACGGCCCAGACUCCUACGGGAGGCAGCAGUGGGGAAUAUUGCACAAUGGGCGGAAGCCUGAUGCAGCAACGCCGCGUGCGGGAUGACGGCCUUCGGGUUGUAAACCGCUUUCGCCUGUGACGAAGCGUGAGUGACGGUAAUGAGUAAAGAAGCACCGGCUAACUACGUG
This 468-nucleotide ribosomal RNA is filed under the name uncultured bacterium. RNAcentral describes it as "partial 16S ribosomal RNA". It matches the Rfam family "Bacterial small subunit ribosomal RNA", at positions 28 to 507 of the family's 1533-position model. The record is from RNAcentral.